GACGAACGCUGGCGGCGUGCUUAACACAUGCAAGUCGAACGGAAAGGCCCUGCUUUUGUGGGGUGCUCGAGUGGCGAACGGGUGAGUAACACGUGAGUAACCUGCCCUUGACUUUGGGAUAACUUCAGGAAACUGGGGCUAAUACCGGAUAGGAGCUCCUGCUGCAUGGUGGGGGUUGGAAAGUUUCGGCGGUUGGGGAUGGACUCGCGGCUUAUCAGCUUGUUGGUGGGGUAGUGGCUUACCAAGGCUUUGACGGGUAGCCGGCCUGAGAGGGUGACCGGCCACAUUGGGACUGAGAUACGGCCCAGACUCCUACGGGAGGCAGCAGUGGGGAAUAUUGCACAAUGGGCGGAAGCCUGAUGCAGCAACGCCGCGUGCGGGAUGACGGCCUUCGGGUUGUAAACCGCUUUCGCCUGUGACGAAGCGUGAGUGACGGUAAUGGGUAAAGAAGCACCGGCUAACUACGUGCCAGCAGCCGCGGUGAUACGUAGGGUGCGAGCGUUGUCCGGAUUUAUUGGGCGUAAAGGGCUCGUAGGUGGUUGAUCGCGUCGGAAGUGUAAUCUUGGGGCUUAACCCUGAGCGUGCUUUCGAUACGGGUUGACUUGAGGAAGGUAGGGGAGAAUGGAAUUCCUGGUGGAGCGGUGGAAUGCGCAGACAUCAGGAGGAACACCAGUGGCGAAGGCGGUUCUCUGGGCCUUUCCUGACGCUGAGGAGCGAAAGCGUGGGGAGCGAACAGGCUUAGAUACCCUGGUAGUCCACGCUGUAAACGGUGGGUACUAGGUGUGGGGUCCAUUCCACGGGUUCCGUGCCGUAGCUAACGCUUUAAGUACCCCGCCUGGGGAGUACGGCCGCAAGGCUAAAGCUCAAAGGAAUUGACGGGGCCCCGCACAAGCGGCGGAGCAUGCGGAUUAAUUCGAUGCAACGCGUAGAAUCUUACCUGGGUUUGACAUGGAUCGGGAGCGCUCAGAGAUGGGUGUGCCUCUUUUGGGGUCGGUUCACAGGUGGUGCAUGGCUGUCGUCAGCUCGUGUCGUGAGAUGUUGGGUUAAGUCCCGCAACGAGCGCAACCCUUGUUCACUGUUGCCAGCACGUUAUGGUGGGGACUCAGUGGAGACCGCCGGGGUCAACUCGGAGGAAGGUGGGGAUGACGUCAAGUCAUCAUGCCCCUUAUGUCCAGGGCUUCACGCAUACUACAAUGGCUGGUACAGAGAGUGGCGAGCCUGUGAGGGUGAGCGAAUCUCGGAAAGCCGGUCUCAGUUCGGAUUGGGGUCUGCAACUCGACCUCAUGAAGUCGGAGUCGCUAGUAAUCGCAGAUCAGCAACGCUGCGGUGAAUACGUUCCCGGGGCU
Molecule: ribosomal RNA, 1346 nt
Filed under: uncultured bacterium
Lineage: Bacteria
Description: bacterial SSU rRNA
Rfam family: Bacterial small subunit ribosomal RNA
Source: RNAcentral